GCCGACAUAGCUCAAUUGGCAGAGCAGCCGCCUUGUAAGCGGCAGGUCAUGGGUUCAAGUCCCAUUGUCGGCUC
Molecule: transfer RNA, 74 nt
Filed under: Chloroflexi bacterium ADurb.Bin344
Lineage: Bacteria; Bacillati; Chloroflexota
Description: tRNA-Thr
Rfam family: tRNA
About the family: Transfer RNA (tRNA) molecules are approximately 80 nucleotides in length. Their secondary structure includes four short double-helical elements and three loops (D, anti-codon, and T loops). Further hydrogen bonds mediate the characteristic L-shaped molecular structure. tRNAs have two regions of fundamental functional importance: the anti-codon, which is responsible for specific mRNA codon recognition, and the 3' end, to which the tRNAs corresponding amino acid is attached (by aminoacyl-tRNA synthetases). tRNAs cope with the degeneracy of the genetic code in two manners: having more than one tRNA (with a specific anti-codon) for a particular amino acid; and 'wobble' base-pairing, i.e. permitting non-standard base-pairing at the 3rd anti-codon position.
Source: RNAcentral